This 495-nucleotide ribosomal RNA is filed under the name uncultured bacterium. Its description in RNAcentral is "partial 16S ribosomal RNA". It matches the Rfam family "Bacterial small subunit ribosomal RNA", at positions 28 to 507 of the family's 1533-position model. The record is from RNAcentral.
GACGAACGCUGGCGGCGUGCCUAAUACAUGCAAGUAGAACGCUGAAGGAGGAGCUUGCUUCUCUGGAUGAGUUGCGAACGGGUGAGUAACGCGUAGGUAACCUGCCUGGUAGCGGGGGAUAACUAUUGGAAACGAUAGCUAAUACCGCAUAAUAGUAGAUGUUGCAUGACAUUUGCUUAAAAGGUGCAAUUGCAUCACUACCAGAUGGACCUGCGUUGUAUUAGCUAGUUGGUGGGGUAACGGCUCACCAAGGCGACGAUACAUAGCCGACCUGAGAGGGUGAGCGGCCACACUGGGACUGAGACACGGCCCAGACUCCUACGGGAGGCAGCAGUAGGGAAUCUCCGGAAAUAGACGGAAGUCUGACCGAGCAACGCCGCGUGAGUGAAGAAGGUUUUCGGAUCGUAAAGCUCUGUUGUAAGAGAAGAACGAGUGUGAGAGUGGAAAGUUCACACUGUGACGGUAUCUUACCAGAAAGGGACGGCUAACUACGUG